Molecule: long non-coding RNA, 4888 nt
Filed under: Gossypium raimondii (Peruvian cotton)
Lineage: Eukaryota; Viridiplantae; Streptophyta; Magnoliopsida; Malvales; Malvaceae
Description: long non-coding RNA (GRAI_LNC003329)
Source: RNAcentral
AAAUAUUGAUGCCUUGUACUCUCUAAUUGGAGAGGAUCCAUACAUGCUGGAGCAUAUUGAUCAGAUUCCUUUCAUCGAUACUCCACUUCACAUAGCAGCAAAUAAAGGCCAAAUUAAGUUUGCAAUGGAGAUUAUGAACUUGAAGCCUUCGUUUGGUCGGAAGCUAAACCAAGAUGGGUUUAGCCCCAUGCACUUGGCCUUCAAAAUGGGGCAUACCAAGCUAGUGCUUCGACUGUUGAAGACCGAUAAAGACCUGGUUCGCGUCAAAGGAAGGGAAGGGAUGACCCCUUUCCAUUGUGCAGCUGCAGCGGGGAACUCUAAUCUUUUAUUCCAGCUCCUUGAAACUUGCCCUGAAUGCGUUGAGGAUGUCACGGUUCGUGACGAGACUGCAUUACAUCUUGCUCUGAAAAACGACCACACCGACGCUUUUAAUUUCUUACUUGGAUGGCUUCGAAAGAACCGUCGUGGAGGAGGCAAGGAUUUGGAAAGAAAGGUUGUGAAUUGGAGAGAUGAUGAUGACAACACUGCGUUGCACAUUGCAGCUACAAAGCAACAACACCAGGUAUAGAUGCAUUAUAAUGAUAAGUUGCGUAUAUUCCUUUGAUAAUCUUAUUAAUGACUGUUUAUAAUAUUCUACGCAGGCCGUGCAACUGUUGUUGGAUUCCUUUUAUGGGUUAGAUGUAAAAGCUAAGAACUCGGAAGGCUUGACAGCUCGAGAAAUCAUAGAAAAUGUUGGGAGACAAGGGUUGAACAUGAGUAGCGCCGAAGACGAUGAUAGGACCACCGCCAAGAUUAAGCGCAUUAAGAAAAGAACUAGUCGGUCUGAAAGAGCAUUAGUAAAGUUGAUUCGUACAAAGAAUGGGUUGUCGGAGAACAUGAUCAACGCAACACUGGUGGUAGCGGCGCUGGUCAUAACAGCGAUCUACCAAUCAUCUUUAAGCCCACCGAGAGGUCUUUGGCAAGGUGAUAACACUAGUAACCCCACCACCACCUCAAACCUUACUACUACCACUAAAUUUAAACUCUUUAACGACAAUUACGCUGAAAAACUUUCUAAACAUGUGUUGGGUGAAGAAACAAUGAAAACUGGUACGGCAAUCAUGAAUCCCAACUUGUUUUUAGGGUUUUGGUUAUUCAAUUUUAUAGCAUUUGGGCUUCCGGUUCUUCUAACCGUUUUCCUUUUAUACGAUGUAGCUCGUAUUCUUCUUCUCCCGCUUUAUUUUCUAUCCGUCUCCUACUUUAACUGCAUGACAAUAAUAUCUCCGUCCAUGUUUUGGGCAAACCUCAACUUUGUUGUCAUGUGGGCAGCCAUUAUUCUCCCGUCUGUCUUUGUUUUUGGAGGCGUAUGGUUAUGCAUGCUGCCAAAGUACCGGGAAAUCAGACAAAUGCGCAGACGUGUCCGCAAUGACAAUAAUAUCGGAAUAAUUCAGUACUUGCGAAUGUCAGUCUAACUUAUAUAUUAUAUUAUGUACCCUUUUCCAUUUUCUUUGUAUUAAUAUCUUUUCUUAUUGAAAAAAAAAAACACUAUGUAAUUGCUUUGGAUAAAUUUAAUAGAAAUAAGAUUACCUUUCCCGACAGAUAUAUUUGAAGUAUCGUUUGUUCAAAAUCAACUUAUUUCUAAAUGUGUUAAUAUUAUUUUCGAGUUAUUAAUUAAAAAUAUCUUUAACAUAAAGAUAUAUGUAAUAUAUAUAUAUUUUUAUUAUUUUGUUUAUAUAAUAAAAGAGUUAUUGAUUAAAAAGAUGAAUUAAAAAAUUAAAAAAUAAUAUAUUUAUUAAUUAAAAAGUACUAUUUUUUAAAAUAAUAUGAAAUAAAAAUACAAAUAUGAGUAAGAGAUAAAUUAAAACCGAGACUCAAAAAUAAAAUGACUAACAUUUAAUUAUUUGACCAAAUAAAUUAAUGUGUCAAGUUAUUGAAGAAAAUACAUUUUAUCCCCACAUUUCUUUCUCCAAAAUUAAUCUAUUUCUACAAAUAUUAAAAAAAUCAACCUUAACACUAAUUAUUUUCUAAAAAGGACAUACGUUGCGAGUAUGCCUUAAACCUAGGAAGGGUGGCUGUGGUGCGCCACACUUUCUAACGCAAAUAAUAAUAAUAAUAAUAAUAAUAAUAAUACAUUAAUCUAAAUUACAUGAGAGUUUGGUGUCCCCUUUUCUUAAUUCUAAACAAUAAAAUCUCAAAAAUAAGAAUAAUAAAAUAAAAUAAAAUAAUUGUAUUUAUAUAGAAAUGAUAAAUUAAGUAAAAUAAAUAAUAAAAAUAUGUCAAUUAACUAAUUUCACUAUCAUUUAAAUAUAUUUAUCUUUUGAAAAAUACUUUUUCUUUUUUAAACAAAGGGUGGACAUCAUCAAAAAUAACUUAGAAAAGUAGAAAUUGUAGCCGUACUAGAACAUUUUUCAUCUAAACAUCAGAAUAUUAAAAUGCUGAAAAACCUCCAAAUUUACCGUUCUCUACAUCCAUUACUAAUCGUAGACGGUGACAAAGACAUUCGACAGAUGAUAAGCAUAAAAAAAAUACUCUUUUAACUACAAUACUAAAAGCGUCCGCUAACCAUUUUUCAAUUAAGAUAUUAAUCAAGACGGAUUAAUUUAGUGUUAAAUAGAGUAAGUCUAGGGGUGGGUUUGGAUGGGUGAUUGGGUGCGGUGCGGUGCGUUUAGUUUACUUUUUGUCUCACGCUACAGUGUCUAAUCUCACCGCCACCGCUGUUUUUACACUAACCUCAAAUAAACCCACCGCCCAUCCAAACUCACCCUAGACUAAGUCCGUGGAUGAAUUUCCGCAUCUUUUUUUAGGCAUUAAAUUGAGAGCCAAUCAGAGCCUUCCCCUUACUACCAAUCUAUAAAAAAUUGGAUCUUUGGUUUGAUUUUAUCAAUAAAAGAAAUUCCUUCCUCGGUUUCUUAAAUUUGAUAACUUUUAUCAUUAUCAUUAUUUUAUUAUAUAAAAUAAUUUUGUUCACUUUUCAUCAAUAAUGAGAUCAAUUGUUUCGCUAAUAGAAUAGAAAAUAGAUAGUUACUCAAUAUUAUAAUGGUACCAUGUGUUUUUAUGUUUUUAAUUUUUAAUAUAAUUAAUGUUAUAACCCUCCUUAUGAAGCUAGUUAAUGUAAAGGAUAAUAAUUCUAAUUAUCUGUGCUUAAAAUUAAUUCAGUUGUGCUUUCAAUCAAUGUCUGAUUUUGAUAUUGCAAGAGGUGUCCAGCUAUGUGGUGAGAUCUUGAAGGUGUGUCUUUGUAACAACUUGAGAAGCUUUUUGGAUUUUUUUCUUCUUCUUUUAGGUUUAUUAUUAGUAAAUGAUUUUUUGCUGCGAAAAAUUAGCUUAAAAAUAAAAUAUAAAAAUGAUAGGAAAUAUAUGUUAAUUUUAUACAACGACAAUUAAUGACAUUGCAAUAUUACUUAACAACAUGAACAAUCCCCACCAUCGUAUUGUCAUUCCCAAGUAAUGGCGUAUUCUCUUUACUUGGAAAAUAUCCCUCCUAACGCUGGCCGAAAUUGGUUGAAACAUUAUGCAGCUAAUUUGGUAAGAUCAUGGACGUGUUUAUUGCAUCAAAAAGAAAUAGAAGAGGUCGUCGGUUUUGUUUCGUUAGGUAUGGUAGGCUGGAAGAAGCAAAGAGAGCAUUGUGGAGUCUAGAUGGAAGGUGGUUCUCUAAUCAUAGAUUGACGGUCAGUAUGGCGAAGUUUAAACCUAGAGAUGCUUUGUGGAGGAAGGCAAAUGGGAGAGAGGUCAGACAACAUACAUAGAAUAUGGAAAGAAGAUGUGUUGAAGGAAAUACGGGAUCGCAUGUAGAGAAGAAUGCAAGUGAGAUUAUGGCAAAUAAUAAACAACAUGAAGAAAAUGACCCAAUCAAGUUGGACGAGAUGGUGGAAGAUUUAUGAAUUUCCAGAAAAGAUAAGAGAACAAAGUAGUAGAGGGAGCCAUUGAUGGAGAGAACUUGAAGUGGCUUGAAAAAUGUAUUGUGGGUAGAAUGAGAAACAAUGCUACUGUGGGGUUAUGGGGUGAUGCUGGAAUUUAUAAAAUUGGAGUCCAAAGAUCAUCGGGUAAUGAUUGGUAUGAAUUGGAAGCCAAUGAAUGGGGAGAUGUUUUGCAAGUGUUCAGAAAGUUGAACGGUGGACAACGAAGAUGAAAGAUUAAGGUGGUUAUCCUGUUACGAGAUUCCAAUACAUGCUUGGUCUUCGAAGAUUUUGACGUACUGUAUAGGCGGCCACCGAUUUAUAUACCUCGUCAUAUAUAGAUAUAUUAAUCAUUUCUUAAAAUAUUCGAUAUUUAUAUUCAAUAUAAAUCUACCCUUGACGGAUUAAUUAGUUUAGUGUAAGCCUGGUUUAAAUCAGUUGAGGUUUCAAAUAAGGAUAGUCAGUUUGCAACUCUCCUAAUUUUUUCAUCAUUUAAAGAAAGAAACAAAAGCAUGGAUCCAAGCUUGAGAGAAGUAGCUGGAACAGGAGAUACUGAUGCCUUGUACGCUCUAAUUCGAAAGGAUCCGUACAUGUUGGAGCAUAUUGAUCAGAUUCCUUUCAUCGAUACUCCACUUCACAUAGCAGCAAAUGAAGGUCAAAUUAAGUUUGCAAUGGAGAUGAUCAACUUGAAGCCUUCGUUUGGUCGGAAGCUAAACCAAGAUGGGUUUAGCCCCAUGCACUUGGCCCUCAAAAUGGGGCAUACCAAGCUAGUGCUUCGACUGUUGAAGACCGAUAAAGACCUGGUUCGCGUCAAAGGAAGGGAAGGGAUGACCCCUUUCCAUUGUGCAGCUGCAGUGGGGAACUCUAAUCUUUUAUUCCACUUCCUUGAAACUUGCCCUGAAUGCGUUGAGGAUGUCACGGUUCGUAACGAGACUGCAUUACAUCUUGCUCUGAAAAACGACCACACAGACGCUUUUAAUCUCUUACAUGGAUGGCUUCGAAAGAACCGUCGAGGA